Molecule: ribosomal RNA, 490 nt
Filed under: uncultured bacterium
Lineage: Bacteria
Description: partial 16S ribosomal RNA
Rfam family: Bacterial small subunit ribosomal RNA
Source: RNAcentral
AUUGAACGCUGGCGGCAUGCUUUACACAUGCAAGUCGGACGGCAGCACAGAGAAGCUUGCUUCUUGGGUGGCGAGUGGCGAACGGGUGAGUAACAUAUCGGAACGUACCGAGCAGUGGGGGAUAACUAAUCGAAAGAUUAGCUAAUACCGCAUAUUUUCUGAGGAAGAAAGCAGGGGACCUUUGGGCCUUGCGCUGUUUGAGCGGCCGAUAUCUGAUUAGCUAGUUGGUGGGGUAAAGGCCUACCAAGGCGACGAUCAGUAGCGGGUCUGAGAGGAUGAUCCGCCACACUGGGACUGAGACACGGCCCAGACUCCUACGGGAGGCAGCAGUGGGGAAUUUUGGACAAUGGGCGCAAGCCUGAUCCAGCCAUGCCGCGUGUCUGAAGAAGGCCUUCGGGUUGUAAAGGACUUUUGUCAGGGAAGAAAAGGGCGGGGUUAAUACCCCUGUCUGAUGACGGUACCUGAAGAAUGAGCACCGGCUAACUACGUG